CAGUUCGGAUUGAAGGCUGAAAUUCGCCUUCAUGAAGCCGGAAUUGCUAGUAAUGGCAGGUCAGCAUACUGCCGUGAAUACGUUCCCGGGCCUUGUACACACCGCCCGUCACACCAUGAGAGUUGGGAAUACCCGAAGCCUGUGAGCUAACGUAAGAGGCAGCAGUCGAAGGUAGAAUCAAUGAUUGGGGUGAAGUCGUAACAAGGUAUC
RNAcentral lists this ribosomal RNA (210 nucleotides) under uncultured bacterium. RNAcentral's name for it is "partial 16S ribosomal RNA". It matches the Rfam family "Bacterial small subunit ribosomal RNA", at positions 1289 to 1500 of the family's 1533-position model. The record is from RNAcentral.